This is a long non-coding RNA of Microtus oregoni (creeping vole), 167 nucleotides long. RefSeq lists it as uncharacterized. The record is from RefSeq and is a predicted model, not a curated record. NCBI's taxonomy places the organism in Eukaryota, Metazoa, Chordata, Mammalia, Rodentia, Cricetidae. The transcript has 3 exons.
GGUCACACGGAUGGGAAGAGAAAAGGAAAUGACUGACCUGGAAGUCUGUGCACCAUCUGAGUGAAUACCUAUUGCUCACAGAGGACACCAGAGUUUGAGAUCUCUCAGAACUGGAGUACAGACAGUUGUGAAUCAUCAGCUUGGGUCUAUGUUAACAUCCAUGGUCC